RNAcentral lists this ribosomal RNA (118 nucleotides) under Salmonella enterica. The record is from RNAcentral. Lineage: Bacteria; Pseudomonadati; Pseudomonadota; Gammaproteobacteria; Enterobacterales; Enterobacteriaceae. RNAcentral also lists the same sequence under 2 other names.
UGCCUGGCGGCAGUAGCGCGGUGGUCCCACCUGACCCCAUGCCGAACUCAGAAGUGAAACGCCGUAGCGCCGAUGGUAGUGUGGGGUCUCCCCAUGCGAGAGUAGGGAACUGCCAGGC